This 371-nucleotide ribosomal RNA is filed under the name uncultured organism. RNAcentral's name for it is "bacterial SSU rRNA". It matches the Rfam family "Bacterial small subunit ribosomal RNA", at positions 526 to 896 of the family's 1533-position model. The record is from RNAcentral.
CGAAGGGGGCUAGCGUUGCUCGGAAUCACUGGGCGUAAAGCGUGCGCAGGCUGAUCUACAAGUCAGGGGUGAAAUCCCAGAGCUUAACUCUGGAAUUGCCUUUGAGACUGUAGAUCUCGAGUCCGUGAGAGGGUGGCGGAAUUCCCAGUGUAGAGGUGAAAUUCGUAGAUAUUGGGAGGAACACCAGUGGCGUAGGCGGCCACCUGGCACGGUACUGACGCUCAUGCACGAAAGCGUGGGGAUCAAACAGGAUUAGAUACCCUGGUAGUCCACGCUGUAAACGAUGAGUGCUAGAUGUUGGGGGGCUUUGUCCCUCAGUGUCGCAGCUAACGCAUUAAGCACUCCGCCUGGGAAGUACGGUCGCAAGAUUA